Molecule: ribosomal RNA, 301 nt
Filed under: uncultured bacterium
Lineage: Bacteria
Description: partial 16S ribosomal RNA
Rfam family: Bacterial small subunit ribosomal RNA
Source: RNAcentral
CAGCCGCCACGGUAAUCCGUAGGUGGCAAGCGUUGUCCGGAAUUAUUGGGCGUAAAGGGCUCGCAGGCGGUUUCUUAAGUCUGAUGUGAAAGCCCCCGGCUCAACCGGGGAGGGUCAUUGGAAACUGGGAAACUUGAGUGCAGAAGAGGAGAGUGGAAUUCCACGUGUAGCGGUGAAAUGCGUAGAGAUGUGGAGGAACACCAGUGGCGAAGGCGACUCUCUGGUCUGUAACUGACGCUGAGGAGCGAAAGCGUGGGGAGCGAACAGGAUUAGAGACCCCCGUAGUCCCUGUCUCUUAUAC